UGGGGAAUUUUCCGCAAUGGGCGAAAGCCUGACGGAGCAAUGCCGCGUGGAGGUGGAAGACCUACGGGUCGUCAACUUCUUUUCUCGGAGAAGAAACAAUGACGGUAUCUGAGGAAUAAGCAUCGGCUAACUCUGUGCCAG
This 141-nucleotide ribosomal RNA is filed under the name uncultured bacterium. RNAcentral's name for it is "partial 16S rRNA". It matches the Rfam family "Bacterial small subunit ribosomal RNA", at positions 355 to 511 of the family's 1533-position model. The record is from RNAcentral.